AUUGAACGCUGGCGGCAUGCUUUACACAUGCAAGUCGAACGGUAACAGGCCUUCGGGUGCUGACGAGUGGCGAACGGGUGCGUAAUGCAUCGGAACGUGCCCAGAGGUGGGGGAUAACGCAGCGAAAGCUGUGCUAAUACCGCAUGUGAUCUGAGGAUGAAAGCGGGGGACCAAGCAGCAAUGUUUGGCCUCGCGCCUCUGGAGCGGCCGAUGUCAGAUUAGGUAGUUGGUGGGGUAAAGGCCUACCAAGCCGACGAUCUGUAGCUGGUCUGAGAGGACGACCAGCCACACUGGGACUGAGACACGGCCCAGACUCCUACGGGAGGCAGCAGUGGGGAAUUUUGGACAAUGGGCGCAAGCCUGAUCCAGCAAUGCCGCGUGCGGGAAGGAGGCCUUCGGGUUGUAAACCGCUUUUGUACGGAACGAAAAGGCUCUGGCUAAUACCUGGGGCUGAUGACGGUACCGUAAGAAUAAGCACCGGCUAACUACGUG
RNAcentral lists this ribosomal RNA (492 nucleotides) under uncultured bacterium. RNAcentral describes it as "partial 16S ribosomal RNA". It matches the Rfam family "Bacterial small subunit ribosomal RNA", at positions 30 to 507 of the family's 1533-position model. The record is from RNAcentral.